This 492-nucleotide ribosomal RNA is filed under the name uncultured bacterium. RNAcentral's name for it is "partial 16S ribosomal RNA". It matches the Rfam family "Bacterial small subunit ribosomal RNA", at positions 29 to 507 of the family's 1533-position model. The record is from RNAcentral.
AGUGAACGCUGGCGGUAGGCCUAACACAUGCAAGUCGAACGGCAGCACAGUAAGAGCUUGCUCUUACGGGUGGCGAGUGGCGGACGGGUGAGGAAUACAUCGGAAUCUACUUUUUCGUGGGGGAUAACGUAGGGAAACUUACGCUAAUACCGCAUACGACCUACGGGUGAAAGCAGGGGAUCUUCGGACCUUGCGCGAUUGAAUGAGCCGAUGUCGGAUUAGCUAGUUGGCGGGGUAAAGGCCCACCAAGGCGACGAUCCGUAGCUGGUCUGAGAGGAUGAUCAGCCACACUGGAACUGAGACACGGUCCAGACUCCUACGGGAGGCGGCAGUGGGGAAUAUUGGACAAUGGGCGCAAGCCUGAUCCAGCCAUACCGCGUGGGUGAAGAAGGCCUUCGGGUUGUAAAGCCCUUUUGUUGGGAAAGAAAAGCAGCAGGUGAAUACCCCGCUGUUCUGACGGUACCCAAAGAAUAAGCACCGGCUAACUUCGUG